GGCCUACUGGUAUUUGCACAGGCAGUGUUCUUUACAGGACUAUUUAGAAAGAGGAGGCCCAGUAAAUCCACCCCAUAUAUACCUCCACAAAGGCCCUUUGCCUGGUCUCUAAUGUGAAUGGAAGGACAUGG
Small nucleolar RNA from Suncus etruscus (white-toothed pygmy shrew), 131 nucleotides. RefSeq annotates it as small nucleolar RNA SNORA51. Lineage: Eukaryota; Metazoa; Chordata; Mammalia; Eulipotyphla; Soricidae. The transcript has a single exon. The record is from RefSeq and is a predicted model, not a curated record.